GCACGUAUAAUGACGUGCACGUAGGACAGGUGAACAGACACGAACGCAGAGUAUGCCGUUGGCAAGAGAGAACUGUUAAGCUGUAUCGAAGAUGAGGCUAAUAUUCCUGUUCCUGUUUAUCGAGGUGAAUGCCGCCUGGGCAAGUCAAAGCAGUUCCAGAGGAGACAUUUGCAGCCUGCCUUCACCUCCCAGAGGCACUUGUAAUGAGACUCACAGAGUGUAUUACCACCGCAACGGUCGCUGCUGGCCACUUAAUUUCAGAGGAUGCAAACAUGAAGGUGGCAGAAACAAGUUCGAGACAUUAGAGGCCUGCAAACGGACAUGUAUGGGAACUAUAUGCUACAAAUGACCGCACAGGAAACCAGUCGCGGGCAGAAGCGAAGAUUUACUGAACGAGAACCAAAAGGGGCUGCCUCUAAUUACAAAGUGGUAGCAGACAAGCGAAGCAUGGUGGUUGUCCUUUGGACGACAGCACAUGUUCUUUGGGUUUCUCUUUUGAAGAAUAUGCCAUUUUUACAGUACAAUAACCAGUGAUAAUAAAGAUAAGACGUUGCGCUUUCCACCAC
Molecule: long non-coding RNA, 566 nt
Organism: Ornithodoros turicata
Lineage: Eukaryota; Metazoa; Arthropoda; Arachnida; Ixodida; Argasidae
Exons: 4
Source: RefSeq, a predicted model, not a curated record